RNAcentral lists this ribosomal RNA (305 nucleotides) under uncultured bacterium. RNAcentral's name for it is "bacterial SSU rRNA". It matches the Rfam family "Bacterial small subunit ribosomal RNA", at positions 332 to 657 of the family's 1533-position model. The record is from RNAcentral.
AAUACCUCGGGGGGCAGCAGUGGGGAAUAUUGCACAAUGGGGGAAACCCUGAUGCAGCGACGCCGCGUGAGUGAAGAAGUAUUUCGGUAUGUAAUGCUCUAUCAGCAGGGAAGAAAAUGACAGUACCUGAGUAAGAAGCCCCGGCUAACUACGUGCCAGCAGCCGCGGUAAUACGUAGGGGGCAAGCGUUAUCCGAAUUUACUGGGUGUAAAGGGAGCGUAGACGGUUGUAUAAGUCUGGAGUGAAAGCCCGGGGCCCAACCCCGGGACUGCUUUGGAAACUGUGUAACUUGAGUACAGGAGGGG